GUCUGUUUUCCUGCCUUUCUCAACUGCCACAUUUUGGAUUAUCUGUUUAGGGACUUAGUAACCUUUUGCCUAGUUUGGAUUACCUUAUUUUGUGGAUCUCCUUGGUUUGUGUUGGACUGCCUCACUUUGAGUGCCUGGACUUAUUUGUCUGGCUGUGCUGACUGCUGCAGGUCUGGCUGUGCUGACUGUUGCAG
This is a long non-coding RNA of Micropterus salmoides (largemouth bass), 194 nucleotides long. RefSeq lists it as uncharacterized. Lineage: Eukaryota; Metazoa; Chordata; Actinopteri; Centrarchiformes; Centrarchidae. The record is from RefSeq and is a predicted model, not a curated record. The transcript has 3 exons.